Molecule: ribosomal RNA, 253 nt
Filed under: uncultured bacterium
Lineage: Bacteria
Description: partial 16S ribosomal RNA
Rfam family: Bacterial small subunit ribosomal RNA
Source: RNAcentral
UACGUAGGGGGCAAGCGUCGUCCGGAUUUAUUGGGCGUAAAGAGCGUGUAGGCGGCUGGGUAGGUCCGUUGUGAAAACUCGAGGCUCAACCUCGAGACGCCGAUGGAAACCCUCCAGCUAGAGUCCGGAAGAGGAGAGUGGAAUUCCUGGUGUAGCGGUGAAAUGCGCAGAUAUCAGGAAGAACACCCGUGGCUAAGGCGGCUCUCUAGUACGGUACUGACGCUGAGACGCGAAAGCGUGGGGAGCAAACAGG